CCUACGGGAGGCAGCAGUGAGGAAUAUUGGUCAAUGGACGCAAGUCUGAACCAGCCAUGCCGCGUGCAGGAUGACGGCCCUAUGAGUUGUAAACUGCUUUUGUACGAGGAUAAACCCCGAUACGUGUACCGUGUUGAAAGUAUCUUACGAAUAAGGAUCGGCUAACUCCGUGCCAGCAGCCGCGGUAAUACGGAGGAUCCGAGCGUUAUCCGGAUUUAUUGGGUUUAAAGGGUGCGUAGACGGUUUGAUAAGUCAGUGGUGAAAGGUCGCGGCUCAACCCCGAAACUGCCUCUAAUACUGUUAGACUAGAGAAUAGUUGCGGUAGGCGGAAUGUAUGGUGUAGCGGUGAAAUGCUUAGAGAUCAUACAGAACACCGAUUGCGAAGGCAGCUUACCAAACUAUAUCUGACGUUGAGGCACGAAAGCGUGGGUAGCAAACAGGAUUAGAUACCCCUGUAGUC
RNAcentral lists this ribosomal RNA (460 nucleotides) under uncultured bacterium. RNAcentral's name for it is "partial 16S ribosomal RNA". It matches the Rfam family "Bacterial small subunit ribosomal RNA", at positions 338 to 795 of the family's 1533-position model. The record is from RNAcentral.